Molecule: unclassified non-coding RNA, 1426 nt
Filed under: Athalia rosae (coleseed sawfly)
Lineage: Eukaryota; Metazoa; Arthropoda; Insecta; Hymenoptera; Athaliidae
Description: misc RNA ENSAEAG00005009508.1
Source: RNAcentral
AUUUGACGGUUAUAUAGAAUUGUACCGCGAGAAACCGUUGAAGAGUCAAUGGUACGAAUUUCAAAUAACGUAAUUUAUCGGGUCAGAUCGAAUCGAUAACGCGAUUCAUCUCGUAAGAUGAGGUUAAUCCACGUGGGUCACGCAAUUACGAAUGCAGACGACACGUUUCAUUAUGAAACUGUAACGCAUGAUCGCUGAGAAUAUCACGCCAACUCCGCAAUAUAAUCUACUACACGUGGAGAUACGAACUCAAUCGUGGUUGAGUAGAACGAAAUGUAAGACUAUACAAAUCGAGUACUUCACAUUCACGGGGCAAUGGCCCAUAAUCGAAAGUUUAUUUUGGUUGAGAAAAAAAAGGGGGAUCUCCCCUGUCUGGAUUGUGUAUACUACGCUGCCGACGGGGGUAUUCGAGAUGGGUUUUCCCUGAGAAAGUACAUGUGAUCAAUUAACCGAUCCACCAAACAUCGGGGCGACCGACGUACCAAACUUGGGGCAAGAGACCAGCGGAGUCGCUGACAUUCACAUUGGUUCGCGCACAAAUGGUACAAAAAUUGGGUCAAGUUUGCGAUCUCUCUUUUUGCAGGCAUCGCGGUGCAGUAAUAUAGUUACGACGUAUAGCAUAUGCGUAUUAAGUUUUUUAACGAUCGAACGAUCGUCGUAAAUUAACGAACGUGGUUCUUUCACCUAUUCGCGAAUCACGUCUCAUAUAUAUGACGUAUUUCUUACACGUCGUGAUAUGCGAAAUAAACAAAGUCGAUCGGUAAAAAUGAUCAACAACAAUUGUUUAUUUUGUUGAUGUUUUUCGACCAAAAUCUAAUCUCUCGCUUACGAGUAAUUUCCCAGAUGUAGAAUUGCUAUGUACGGGACUUCCGUUGAAUCCAUCAAUAUAAAAUUUAUACCUCGCCGUUUUACGGCUCCAACCUUGACGCUUUGUCUCGAUUUCGAUGAUUUGCAGAAAUUUUGUGACAAGUUUUCAGGAUUGAUCUGAGAAAAUGCACCGCGAACUGUGAUAUCGUAUAGAUUUCCUGAUGUUAUCGACUUGCAGUCGUUUGGUUCUUGCGAAAUGUAGAUAAAGGGUUCAAAAAUCAGAGUUGAUGUAUAUAUAAAUAGAAUUAUCAACAAAUCUUAUCGCGCUAAUAGGUAUUUACUUUUCACGUUGUAAUCUCAUAAUAUGCCAACGGAUGAAAAACUAUGUCAGCUGAUGGAAGGACGUAAUUGAUUAAAUUGAUCAAAUUAGAAAUAGGUCAAGUGUAUUUUGAGGACCCCUAGCUGUAUUAAAAUGCACACGAGUCAUUCACUUCCUAACCUGUAGUAGUUACCAUACUGCAGACUGACACUCUCAUUAUCAGCAUCCCGAAACGGUAGAAAAUGAUAAUCAUCAAGGAACAAUCAAAUCUGCGAAUUUAGGUACACGACCGCAGUAUGU